RNAcentral lists this ribosomal RNA (492 nucleotides) under uncultured bacterium. RNAcentral's name for it is "partial 16S ribosomal RNA". It matches the Rfam family "Bacterial small subunit ribosomal RNA", at positions 29 to 507 of the family's 1533-position model. The record is from RNAcentral.
AGUGAACGCUGGCGGUAGGCCUAACACAUGCAAGUCGAACGGCAGCACAGUAAGAGCUUGCUCUUACGGGUGGCGAGUGGCGGACGGGUGAGGAAUACAUCGGAAUCUACUUUUUCGUGGGGGAUAACGUAGGGAAACUUACGCUAAUACCGCAUACGUCCUACGGGUGAAAGCAGGGGAUCUUCGGACCUUGCGCGAUUGAAUGAGCCGAUGUCGGAUUAGCUAGUUGGCGGGGUAAAGGCCCACCAAGGCGACGAUCCGUAGCUGGUCUGAGAGGAUGAUCAGCCACACUGGAACUGAGACACGGUCCAGACUCCUACGGGAGGCAGCAGUGGGGAAUAUUGGACAAUGGGCGCAAGCCUGAUCCAGCCAUACCGCGUGGGUGAAGAAGGCCUUCGGGUUGUAAAGCCCUUUUGUUGGGAAAAAAAAGCAGCAGGUUAAUACCCCGCUGUUCUGACGGUACCCAAAGAAUAAGCACCGGCUAACUUCGUG